This 253-nucleotide ribosomal RNA is filed under the name uncultured bacterium. RNAcentral's name for it is "partial 16S ribosomal RNA". It matches the Rfam family "Bacterial small subunit ribosomal RNA", at positions 524 to 776 of the family's 1533-position model. The record is from RNAcentral.
UACGUAGGAUGCAAGCGUUGUCCGGAAUUACUGGGCGUAAAGGGCUUGUAGGCGGCCAACUAAGUCAGACGUGAAAUCCCUCGGCUUAACCGGGGAACUGCGUCUGAUACUGGAUGGCUUGAGUUCGGGAGAGGGAUGCGGAAUUCCAGGUGUAGCGGUGAAAUGCGUAGAUAUCUGGAGGAACACCGGUGGCGAAGGCGGCAUCCUGGACCGGCAUUGACGCUGAUGAGCGAAAGCUAGGGGAGCAAACGGG